CUGAUCCCACCGAGGAGUCCAGCUCCCUCUGCAAUCCGACCAGGGGUUUGAAACACUUCCAAACACCUAGCGCUUGACACUUGGACAGGGUGGUGAUGGAGAGGCUGACAGACAAGUUCGGUGGCUCAGGAGCUCGGAGUUUUCGGACGG
Mobula hypostoma (lesser devil ray) is the source of this 150-nucleotide long non-coding RNA. RefSeq lists it as uncharacterized. The transcript is spliced from 3 exons. Lineage: Eukaryota; Metazoa; Chordata; Chondrichthyes; Myliobatiformes; Myliobatidae. The record is from RefSeq and is a predicted model, not a curated record.